RNAcentral lists this transfer RNA (90 nucleotides) under Camelus bactrianus (Bactrian camel). It matches the Rfam family "tRNA". From Rfam's summary of the family: Transfer RNA (tRNA) molecules are approximately 80 nucleotides in length. Their secondary structure includes four short double-helical elements and three loops (D, anti-codon, and T loops). The record is from Rfam by way of RNAcentral. Lineage: Eukaryota; Metazoa; Chordata; Mammalia; Artiodactyla; Camelidae. RNAcentral also lists the same sequence under 2 other names.
GAAGGUAUAGCUCAGUGGUAGAGUGCAUGCUUAGCAUGCACGAGGCCCUUAGCAUGUAUGAGGUCCUGGGUUCAAUCCCCAGUAUGUCCA